Theobroma cacao (cacao) is the source of this 405-nucleotide non-coding RNA. The record is from RefSeq and is a predicted model, not a curated record. NCBI's taxonomy places the organism in Eukaryota, Viridiplantae, Streptophyta, Magnoliopsida, Malvales, Malvaceae.
GAGAAUUCUUGAGAAAGAAUUCAACUACAAAUCUACCAAGGUUCCAACGAGGCCCCACACUGUCACUCGGAGCAUUAGUCGAAGUUGGAGUCAAUCCAAAAGCAUUAACAAAAACAAAUCUAGAGGUAAUUGGAACGUAGAUUGAGGGGUCCACUGGUGUUCACCCUUAGUAGGUAUCAUGGCAUUCAAUAGCCGUAUCCCCCAUCCAAAGUCACUCCGCUAGUCGUCAGAAGUCUUUUGCAUGUGCAUAUGUACAUUAGAUGUGAAGUGAUAAGAUCAUUUUGCAAACGAUAUAUGUAUAUUCUGAUUUAUGAUGCCAUUAUGAGAUGGCAAUGAAUGACAAUACUUUGGGAUAUUACAAAUAUAACUAUUUGGUUGCUAUGUUUCAUUACCGGAAUACGUAUA